UUGAACGCUGGCGGCAUGCUUUACACAUGCAAGUCGAACGGUAACAGGGAGCUUGCUCCGCUGACGAGUGGCGAACGGGUGAGUAAUGCAUCGGAACGUAUCCAGUCGUGGGGGAUAACGUAGCGAAAGUUACGCUAAUACCGCAUACGUCCUGAGGGAGAAAGCGGGGGACCGUAAGGCCUCGCGCGAUUGGAGCGGCCGAUGUCGGAUUAGCUAGUUGGUGGGGUAAAGGCCUACCAAGGCGACGAUCCGUAGCGGGUCUGAGAGUAUGAUCCGCCACACUGGGACUGAGACACGGCCCAGACUCCUACGGGAGGCAGCAGUGGGGAAUUUUGGACAAUGGGGGCAACCCUGAUCCAGCCAUGCCGCGUGAGUGAAGAAGGCCUUCGGGUUGUAAAGCUCUUUCGGCCGGGAAGAAAUCGCAUCUCCUAAUACGGGGUGUGGAUGACGGUACCGGAAGAAGAAGCACCGGCUAACUACGU
This 482-nucleotide ribosomal RNA is filed under the name uncultured bacterium. RNAcentral's name for it is "bacterial SSU rRNA". It matches the Rfam family "Bacterial small subunit ribosomal RNA", at positions 30 to 506 of the family's 1533-position model. The record is from RNAcentral.